Molecule: long non-coding RNA, 364 nt
Organism: Manis pentadactyla (Chinese pangolin)
Lineage: Eukaryota; Metazoa; Chordata; Mammalia; Pholidota; Manidae
Exons: 3
Source: RefSeq, a predicted model, not a curated record
CUGGGGUCGGCCAGGUGGCUCAGGGCUCUCCUCUGGAGCAAGCCGGCGUCCCAGCCCUCCGCCAAGGUACACACCUCGGAGGACUGGCAGCACAGGCUGGGCCCCGCCAGGUGCCUGCAGCUCCGCCACCACGCCCCCCCUCAGAGCCGCCCCGGAUCAGGGGGGCUGCAGGAUGAAGAGGGGGCGGGCCCGGUCCUGCAGCCAAUCCAUCCCUUUUUGCGUGACCCCAGACAGGCAGCCACGGCUGUUCUCACACACUGACCCCAUUCGGCAGGCGACAUUAUUGUUCCCGCGUUCCAGACUGGGCCACAGGCUUGGGAACAUCGGCUCCCUCGCCCACACCAUCCAGCUGUAACCCGCAAAA